This 259-nucleotide ribosomal RNA is filed under the name uncultured prokaryote. RNAcentral describes it as "partial 16S ribosomal RNA". It matches the Rfam family "Bacterial small subunit ribosomal RNA", at positions 524 to 782 of the family's 1533-position model. The record is from RNAcentral.
UACGUAGGUGGCGAGCGUUGUCCGGAUUUAUUGGGUUUAAAGGGUGCGCAGGUUGUUUGAUAAGUUAGUGGUGAAAGUCUGUCGCUUAACGGUAGGAUUGCCAUUGAUACUGUUGGACUUGAAUAUGGAUGAGGUAGGCGGAAUGUGUAGUGUAGCGGUGAAAUGCAUAGAUAUUACACAGAACACCGAUUGCGAAGGCAGCUUACUAAUCCAUCAUUGACGCUGAGGCACGAAAGCGUGGGGAUCAAACAGGAUUAGA